This is a long non-coding RNA of Tupaia belangeri chinensis (Chinese tree shrew), 1313 nucleotides long. RefSeq lists it as uncharacterized. Lineage: Eukaryota; Metazoa; Chordata; Mammalia; Scandentia; Tupaiidae. The transcript has 3 exons. The record is from RefSeq and is a predicted model, not a curated record.
CAUGUACGCUGGUAAACUGGCCAGCUGGGAAAAGGAGCUGAAAGUCCUUUACCAUGGCGGAUUUCAAGCUACCUACCUGGCGGCAGUGAAGGUGGAGCUGGAAAGCGAGCCACGAACCAGCUCCCAAAGCUGGUGGGAUGGCUCUUGUGCAGCAUCGGACAGCCCGGACAGUGCGUUGCCUUCCACAAGGCCCAUCCGGGAAGGGACCGGGUCCUGCUGGCUUUUGGAUGACGGUGGCUUCCUGGGUUUCCCACCCUGUUCUGUACCUGUGAAGUGGCAGGUCUGGCUUUGUCUGAAACAUUAAGAACCUGGAUAUCAUCACAGAAGUCAUCCCAUGGCAUUUAUUGUGGUGAGCCAAGCCAGAAGAAUGAUGGAAGCUUCAUAAAAUGAAUUUGGAAGGUUUCCUUCCUUUUGAAUCUUCAGAAAUAACUAGAGAUAAAAGCAGCCGAAGCAAGAUGAGUCAAAGUCAGAGUGGCGGUCAUGGUCCUGGAGGUGGCAAGAAGGAUGACAAGGACAAGAAAAAGAAGUAUGAACCUCCUGUCCCAACUAGGGUCAGGGAAAAAAAAGAAGAAAAUUAAGGGACCAGAUGCUGCCCACGAACUGCCACUGGUGACACUUCACACACAGUGCCAGUUAAAAUGAUUGAAAUUAGAGAGAAUUAAAGACUACCUUCUCAUGGAAGAACAAUUUAUUAGAAAUCAGAAGCAGAUGAAACCAUUAGAAGAAAAGCAAGAGGAGGAAAGAUCAAAGGUGGGUGAUCCGAGGUGGACCCCGAUGUUUGCAGGAGCCUUGGAAGAGAUCAUUGAUGAUAAUCAUGCAAUAGUGUCUACAUCUGUGGGCUCAGAACACUAUGUCAACAUUCUUUCAUUUGUAGACAAGGAUCUGUUGGAACCAGGCUGCUCGGUCCUGCUCAAUCACAUGUAGUGGUAGGGGAACUGAUGGAUGACAUGAGUCCCUUGGUCACAGUGAUGAAGGUGGAAAAGUCCCCACAGGAGACCUUUGCUAAUAUUGGGGGGCUGGACAACCAAAUCCAGGAGAUUAAGGAAUCUGUGGAGCUUCCUCUCACCCAUCCUGAAUAUUAUAAAGAGAUGGGUAUAAAGCCCCCCCAGGGGGUCAUUCUCUAUGGUCCCCUGGCACAAGAAAAACCUUGUUAGCCAAAGCUGUUGCGAACCAAACUUCAGCCACUUUCUUGAGUGUUGUUGGCUCUGAACCGAUUCAGAAGUACCUGGGUGAUGGGCCCAAACUUGUCUGGGAAUUCUUUCAAGUUGCUGAAGAGCAUGCACCAUUCAUUGUGUUUAUUGAUGAAAUUGAUA